Molecule: long non-coding RNA, 1654 nt
Organism: Anopheles gambiae (African malaria mosquito)
Lineage: Eukaryota; Metazoa; Arthropoda; Insecta; Diptera; Culicidae
Exons: 2
Source: RefSeq, a predicted model, not a curated record
UACCACGGUCCCCUAUCUCACCUAUGAAAAAAGGGCGAGAUCACACAAACACACACUGAGGGCAAGCUUGGCGGUUUGUUUAGUGCAAGCAGAUGAGUAAGUGGACACACAAGUGAGUGCAUGAAGUCGACAGGCACAGCUACACUACCGCCAACAGUUCCUCCGCUGUAGUUGCACGUCGGCUUCGGGGAAGUUACCACUACUAUUGCUACUACUACUACUACUACUACUACCACCACCACCAGAGGGCUAGUGUAGUCGGGCUGGGAAGAUGGUUGGCGAUCGUUUAAUUACAACUACCGAUGGGAAACGGCAACAACAUCAGCAGCAGCAAGCAGCUCACUCUCGACCAAGUAAACCUUCAUCUUGCGUCCACGGAGCGGGGGGGGGGGGGGGGAUUGCAGCUCUGCGAAUGAUCCCACCCGCUCCCCUAUCUAUGCAGCUGCCGCCAGCUUCCGCUCACUGAUCGUGCGAUCGUGCAACCGGCUGUGUAUAAAACGAUCAAUUGAAUGCAGCGGGUGGCGUGCCGUGCCGUGUGCUUCGUGCUCUGUGGGAAAGAGGGUUGUGGAAUGCUGGAGCGUACACCGGAACAUCAUUUGCAUCCCUCGCUCGCUGUGUAGCCCUCACGUCUCCAUAAGCCGCCCCACCGUUCAGUAGCCGAGAGGAACUUCGAUCAACCGAUCUGAGCCGCGUUGUGUUUGAGAACGGUUUUUCGCGGCAAGACACAUCCAACACCCCGAAACCCCUUUUCCGUAUGCACGUUAACAGAUUGCACGUUAACUCCUGUUUGUGGGAGAAAUUAAUAUACGUGCUGCUUUUAUUAGCACUCCCUUAUGUCACUUCGGCCACAAUUGUUCUAUUAUUAAAUCAUCAGAGCUCGCUGUCUGCUGAGCCCCGUUUGCAAAUAGAGAGAAGCAAAGCAAAAUAAUACCAUUGAUUGGAUUGAUUGUUGUACGCCCGUUUCGUCGUCACGUUCUGGCGGUGUGCGAAUAGUGUGUGAGUGUUAUUAAAGCUCCCUUUUUUUACCAGGCUAACGGCUGCCAGAGGGCAGAAGCUGUCAAAGGUGCUAGAUCAUCGCUGAUUAGUUUGCAGUUAACAAUCUUAUAUGCUUAAAUUAAGCUCUUUAUUGGUCGCAGGACAAUGUACCAAUGAUUGAGCAGCACAAGGAAGGAAGGACUAACUAAUAGUUGUUAGAAGGAUUUACGAUUUUAACUCGUUUUUUUGCAAAUUGAGGUUUACAUUUGGCGGCUUGAUUCAUCUCAAAAUAUCAGCCCAGAUUUGAUGAAUAUGAAAUAAAUAUUAAGAAAAUGCUUAUUUGUUAAGUAAUCUAAAGGGAUGGCUCAUGUAUAAUGGAAUUUGAAGAACAUAUGUAUCCAACCGGCAUGAAAUUCAAAUAGAAAUUGUAACUGAAAAUUAUCCUUCUUUCCCAUUGGAUUUAAUUUGAUUCUUGAAGUACUGAUGUAGGCUGGAAACUUAUUAGUUUAAUUUAAAACGUUAAAUAAUCGAAUGCUUCGUUAUCACACAGAUUUUUUUGGAAUAAAACUGUAAAUGUACUAAUUGAGAAUUAAUUUACAGAAAAUUUGCGCAUUGUAUAGAUAAGGUUAUAAUAUUGGUAAAUAUGGUAGAAAUAAAAAUAUUAUAAUAUUUUACCAUA